Molecule: long non-coding RNA, 1029 nt
Filed under: Anas platyrhynchos platyrhynchos (common mallard)
Lineage: Eukaryota; Metazoa; Chordata; Aves; Anseriformes; Anatidae
Description: lncRNA (ENSAPLG00000021883.1)
Source: RNAcentral
UGAAAAUACGGGUUAGGGUUAAGUGUAAAAUGCUGGGGUGAACCAGUGUGGCAGACCUUCCUGUGUCUGCUUGUAGAAUUUGUGUUUUGGCAGAAUUUGAUGUAGUAGUUUUCUGUUUACUCAAAAAAAUUAUGUAAAUACACAUGUACACAUGCUAUUUAUACUUUAAAAAGUAACAUAUAUUUUGAAGUAUGUAUGUGCACACAUACAUAUACGUGCAUACACGUACCUCUAACUGUACCUUUGUUACUUGCCUGCCCAUAUACACUUCAUAUGAAACGGGGAGAGAACAACAUGAAAUGGUUCAAGGGACUCAAAUGGCUGCAGGGCAGUGCUUGUCAAGAGACGGUUCAGUAAACACUGACUGAAGUGGCUUCACCUGUGAAACAAAAACACACACAUCUUUUAUAUUUACUUUUUUCCUUUCCUUUCUCCUCACUUUCGGACUACAAUAGCAAUAGCAGCCUUUAUGGAGGGAAUUUCUUCUAAAUACUGGCUAACGAGAGUUAAUGAGCUUCCACAAUUUCUCAGUUCACCAGCUCCUCCCAGAUGGUCACUAAUCCCAGCAAAUGCCUUGUACCUCAAUUGCUCACUUGUUUCCUGGAAGAAGAGGCAACAGACCUUUAGUGCUUCAAAACGGAAAGAGAACUAAGAUUUUGUGACAGUCAUUCUGAUCUGGCCUGGAUAAAGCAGAACUGAAGAUACCUGAAGGAAGCUAGACCAAGAAUGAAAAAGCAUCAGAUGGGAACAAAUAUAAUUAAUCCAUAUUAGCUGCCAUAUUGUCCAAGAAGGGGAGUGGCAGCUCCGUAACAGCAGCAGCAGAAAGAGCCCAUGAAAGAAACAAAAAAGCAGAGGAGUCUGUCAUGUCAUGUGUAUGUAGAAAGCAUCCUGUGCAUGAAUUAUUUUGCUGUGGUGAUGACUGAAGCCUUCAAGAUCACUUCUCCAUUAGGAGAAAAGUUAGCUAGGUAUCCUUAGACACCAGCUUCCAUUUCCUUUUUCCUCCGUGGCUUUUUCAUAUAAAAAACAUCA